UACGUAGGGGGCAAGCGUUGUCCGGAAUCAUUGGGCGUAAAGAGCGUGUAGGCGGCCAGGUAGGUCCGUUGUGAAAACUCGAGGCUCAACCUCGAGACGCCGAUGGAAACCCCCUGGCUAGAGUCCGGAAGAGGAGAGUGGAAUUCCUGGUGUAGCGGUGAAAUGCGCAGAUAUCAGGAAGAACACCCGUGGCUAAGGCGACUCUUUGGCCUGUAACUGACACUGAGGCGCGAAAGCGUGGGGAGCAAACAGG
RNAcentral lists this ribosomal RNA (253 nucleotides) under uncultured bacterium. Its description in RNAcentral is "partial 16S ribosomal RNA". It matches the Rfam family "Bacterial small subunit ribosomal RNA", at positions 524 to 776 of the family's 1533-position model. The record is from RNAcentral.